Molecule: ribosomal RNA, 255 nt
Filed under: uncultured bacterium
Lineage: Bacteria
Description: partial 16S ribosomal RNA
Rfam family: Bacterial small subunit ribosomal RNA
Source: RNAcentral
UACAGAGGGUGCAAGCGUUUAAUCGGAUUUACUGGGCGUAAAGCGCGCGUAGGCGGCUAAUUAAGUCAAAUGUGAAAUCCCCGAGCUUAACUUGGGAAUUGCAUUCGAUACUGGUUAGCUAGAGUGUGGGAGAGGAUGGUAGAAUUCCAGGUGUAGCGGUGAAAUGCGUAGAGAUCUGGAGGAAUACCGAUGGCGAAGGCAGCCAUCUGGCCUAACACUGACGCUGAGGUGCGAAAGCAUGGGGGAGCAAACAGG